Molecule: non-coding RNA, 674 nt
Organism: Ceratotherium simum simum (southern white rhinoceros)
Lineage: Eukaryota; Metazoa; Chordata; Mammalia; Perissodactyla; Rhinocerotidae
Source: RefSeq, a predicted model, not a curated record
UGGUACCUGGGGCCCCGGAGCCUGCAGGGCACGUGGGCCCCGCCAGCCCUGGACAAGACCCUCACCACGUGCCCACCAACCAAGUGUUACAGGCCCUAGAAUGCUGCCUGGCCUGCUCUGCUGGGUGGACUGUCUGUCUCCCUUUCUCUCUAUGUGGUAUUCAGCCUCCAAGCCUACGCCAGCUGUGUACAGCACCAUCUCCGCCUCUGCUGGCCCUCACUCACCAAAUGUGUAUUUAUAACAAAGUUCUCAAUCAUUAAAAAAAAACAAGAAAAAGAAUUUUCCUGGCUGCCACUUGCAUGUUUGUUUGCCUGUCAAAUUGCAAAGCAGUGCCACAGAGAUUUAAGACAGUACUGCUGGUGGCUUGGGGGCAGGAGCUCAGAUGUUUGCAGAUGCGAAGGUGCCUGCCCAGAGGUGACCCAGAGGUCGUGUAAGCUGGCCAUGGCAAUCCAGCUUCCCUUUGCCAUCUGCCCGGGGUGGGCAAGACACAGCCUGGAUAAGACCCAGGGAAUCCUGGUGUGCCUUCGGGAAGAUUCCCCUCCCUGAUAGGAAAGUUGCAUGUGACAACCCUGGGAGCAGCGAGCACCCGAGCACCCAGAUCCUGUUUCUAAAUACCAUUCUCCAAUACAAGAACCAGACUCCUUGGAGAACUGGCUGACUCCAGGGCUGGGGCA